Molecule: non-coding RNA, 502 nt
Filed under: uncultured Glomeromycotina
Lineage: Eukaryota; Fungi; Glomeromycota
Also listed under: 1 other name
Description: partial small subunit ribosomal RNA
Rfam family: Eukaryotic small subunit ribosomal RNA
Source: RNAcentral
CCAAUAGCGUAUAUUAAAGUUGUUGCAGUUAAAAAGCUCGUAGUUGAACUUCGGGGUUCACCCAUUGGUCAGGCUUAAUUGUCUGUACUGGUGAGAUGAGUCUCUACCUUCUGAGGAACUUUCAUGCCAUUUAUUUGGUGUGAUUGGAAAUCAGGACUGUUACUUUGAAAAAAUUAGAGUGUUUAAAGCAGGCUAACGUCUGAAUACAUUAGCAUGGAAUAAUGAAAUAGGACGGAUUGAUUCUAUUUCGUUGGUUUCUAGGGUCACCGUAAUGAUUAAUAGGGAUAGUUGGGGGCAUUAGUAUUCAAUUGUCAGAGGUGAAAUUCUUGGAUUUAUUGAAGACUAACUACUGCGAAAGCAUUUGCCAAGGAUGUUUUCAUUAAUCAAGAACGAAAGUUAGGGGAUCGAAGACGAUCAGAUACCGUCGUAGUCUUAACCAUAAACUAUGCCGACUAGGGAUCGGACGCAGUUAAUUUUAUAAUGACGUGUUCGGCACCUUACG